GUUAGAUUGACAGAGGAAAAUGUAUUAAAUUUAGAAUUUAAUUAGGUAAUAAAUUGUUACAUCUAAUA
RNAcentral lists this transfer RNA (68 nucleotides) under Olidiana ritcheriina. RNAcentral describes it as "tRNA-Leu". The record is from RNAcentral. Lineage: Eukaryota; Metazoa; Arthropoda; Insecta; Hemiptera; Cicadellidae.